RNAcentral lists this ribosomal RNA (700 nucleotides) under uncultured bacterium. Its description in RNAcentral is "bacterial SSU rRNA". It matches the Rfam family "Bacterial small subunit ribosomal RNA", at positions 62 to 792 of the family's 1533-position model. The record is from RNAcentral.
UCUAGGGGUAGCAAUACCACUGGCGCACGGGUGAGUAACACGUAGGUUAUCUGCCCCCAUCACAGACAUAACCCCGGGAAACCGGGGCUAAUAUCUGAUGAGGUCGCGAGAUCAAAGCUUCGGCGGAUGGGGAUGAGCCUGCGGCUGAUUAGCUAGUUGGUGAGGUAACGGCUCACCAAGGCGACGAUCAGUGGCUGGUCUGAGAGGACGAACAGCCACACUGGAACUGAGACACGGUCCAGACUCCUACGGGAGGCAGCAGUGAGGAAUAUUGGUCAAUGGGAGCAAUCCUGAACCAGCAAUGCCGCGUGUGGGAUGACAGGGCUUCGCCUUGUAAACCACUGUCGGACGGGACGAAAGGAGGCCACGGGCCUCUGGGACGGUACCGUCAAAGGAAGGGUCGGCUAACUACGUGCCAGCAGCCGCGGUAAUACGUAGGACCCGAGCGUUGUCCGGAUUUACUGGGUAUAAAGGGUGCGUAGGCGGCCUUGUGCGUCAGAGGUGAAAUAUCCGGGCUUAACCCGGAGGGUGCCUUUGAUACGGCAGGGCUUGAGUGCGAGAGAGGAUGAUGGAAUUCCUGGUGUAGCGGUGAAAUGCGUAGAUAUCAGGAGGAACACCGGUGGCGAAGGCGGUCAUCUGGCUCGUAACUGACGCUGAGGCACGAAAGCGCGGGGAUCAAACAGGAUUAGAUACCCUGGUA